GAUGAACGCUAGCGGCAGGCUUAACACAUGCAAGUCGAGGGGUAGAAGGAGCUUGCUCCUUUGAGACCGGCGCACGGGUGCGUAACGCGUAUGCAAUCUACCUUUCACAGAGGGAUAGCCCAGAGAAAUUUGGAUUAAUACCUCAUAGUAUAGCAGUUUCGCAUGAAACCACUAUUAAAGUUCCAACGGUGAAAGAUGAGCAUGCGUCCCAUUAGCUAGAUGGUAAGGUAACGGCUUACCAAGGCUACGAUGGGUAGGGGUCCUGAGAGGGAGAUCCCCCACACUGGUACUGAGACACGGACCAGACUCCUACGGGAGGCAGCAGUGAGGAAUAUUGGACAAUGGGGCGGCAAAGCCCUUGAUCCAGCCAUGCGCGUGCAGGAUGACGGU
RNAcentral lists this ribosomal RNA (390 nucleotides) under uncultured bacterium. Its description in RNAcentral is "bacterial SSU rRNA". It matches the Rfam family "Bacterial small subunit ribosomal RNA", at positions 28 to 415 of the family's 1533-position model. The record is from RNAcentral.